Molecule: long non-coding RNA, 3258 nt
Filed under: Marmota monax (woodchuck)
Lineage: Eukaryota; Metazoa; Chordata; Mammalia; Rodentia; Sciuridae
Source: RNAcentral
ACACGCAAGUCCACUGGGCUUCUUUAAAAUAAUUAAAUUGAGUGUUUACUUGGUUAUUAUAAUCUUUGCAACCACUGAAAUGUUUAGAUGUUAAUCUGAUAUUAGAGUCAUCACCAGACCAAAAAUGGUCAUUUGAUAAUGUAAAUGUGAAAUCUGGUUUCAAUGAGAAUAUUUUUACUGUCAUGGUAUAAAUAUUUGAGUGACAUUUUAAGCCUAACUCUCAGGCCACAAAAUGUUUCUUCACAUUAAAAAAAAAAAAAAUGAGAAUGGACAAUUAUGAGUAUGCUCCCCAACCCUCACCCUCUGGGUUUUCCUCUUGUGUCAACUCUUUCCUAUCUGUAUCUGAUAACUAAGUACCAUGCUUGAUUUUUAAGGGAUAAAGAAACUCAAGCUGUACUUAAACCCAGAUCUUUGGAAUAUUACAUGAAGGGAGCAAAUCUUCAACUCCAUGACUACAUCACCAACAUUUACAAGGAUACACUUAGAGGGGGCAGAGUUCAUGUUCAGCUGUACUUCCUAAAUGAAUUAACUCAUCUUUCACAGAAAAAUCAGUCUGACUCUUUAGAAGGUUGUAGAGCACUUUAUUUUUAAUUGUAUUCACUGAUUUAAUCAUUUGAACUAUUAUUCCUGCAACAGAAAAGGUAAUUUACUCAAUGACGCUGAAGUGUUGUGAUGGGAUACAGCUUCCUUCACACUGCAUAGGAAGGAAAUCUCUACUAUCUGCACAGCCUACCCGUGGUCUUCUCCCACAUGAUGUCCUGGGUCGGUGGGCAUUGCCCAUCAGCAGGACUCUUCCCAUCACAGAGGCAUUGUGUGGUGGCCUGCUGACUUCCCCCAGUGACUCAGACGUUGGCUCAUUUACUUGUUUAUAUAUUUGAAAUUUUCAUGAUCAGCUUACUUGACCAGUAACCUUUCCAUAGCCUAUUCUAGAACUAAAAAGAGAUGAAAUAAAUGGAAAAAAAAUGCAUAGCCCCUAACAAUUCCCUUCUGACUUAAUUUCCUUUAUGAGCAUUUAAUGGCACCCAAUAAGGGAGAAAUCUAUCCAGAAAAAAAUAAAAAUAAAUUUAUAAUAAAACAAACAGAAGAUAACAUGCAAAAUCCAAUUUCUUCAAAUUCAUUAAAAUGCAAAUAAUUAUUUUUUGAGAUAAAGGAAUGGAAAAUAACUAAAGACAAAGACGAAAGUUCUCCCUGAGGAAGGAGUAGAGACAGCAGCUGACUCACCAUCUCUCUGAUCUAGACUUGCAAACCCAAGGCCAUGGCUGCUGGGAGCUCCGAGGAGCCACCGAAGGACCCCAGGCAAGGCAGAGGCCAGCAAAGCAUCACAUUGUCUACAGAGAAAAGCCACUCGUGCAGCUGAGCACUCUGGGAGAAGCUCUCCUCUCUCUUCUUCCUGACAUCUCUCCUUUCUUUUUUGGUUGCCAGGCUAGAACUUGCACCAUCUUGGUCAUUAGCACAUUAGCCCUUGUCUAACAACAGGCUGAUACAGAAAAUAAAGGCCCUGGUUCCCAGCCUUUGCUAUUGCCCUAGUGUAACUGUUCCAAACAUGGCCAAGUCAAAGUCCUCCCUGUGAUGUCCUGAACGGGGGCUGGGAAGGCAUGCAGUCACCCACCACAGAGCACUUCCACCACGUACACAGAAGACAUGUAAACAGCCUGAAGAGCAGGAGUAACUGCAAGAUAGCACAAAAGAGGUGAGUUAGUAAGAGGUGAGUUUUGAUAAUUGAUCACCUGUGUAUUUUUUGAGGAGGGUAGUUACUGGGGAUUGAACUCAGGGGCACUCAACCACUGAGCACAUUCCCAGCCCUAUUUUGUAUUUUAUUUAGAGACAGGAUCUCACUGAGUUGCUUAGUCCUCUCUUUUGCUGAGGCUGGAUCAAACCCAGUGCCUCAUGCUUGCUAGGGCUAGGCAAGCUCUCUACCACUGAGCCCCAGCCCCAGCCCCCAUGGGGUCUUAACAAUAAUUUGACUGACUAUAAAUAGUCUGGCUGAUUAUAAAUAGUUUGACUAUAAAUUACAAAGUUAUCUCCCCUUAUUACUUACUGUUUCUGCAUUUCUUUUUGCUUCUGGUAUCACUGCCCUGCUGAUGUCAAAGUAGCUUUUAUUCCUUCCACAGCAAAUCGGUUCAUAUCACUAUCUUUGGUGGUUUAAAAUGUGACCUUGACGUUUCUAGGUGUGUUUUUUGUUUGUUGGGUGGUUUUUUUUUUUUUUUCCUUUUCAUUUAUCUAUCUCAGUAUAACAAAAGCUUCUAUAAUUAGAACACAUUAUGUUUUACUAGUAUUAGAAAGUUUUUCUGUUCUUUGCAAAUUUAUGGAACUGACUUUAUGGACAAAGAAGGAUGUAAAUAUUCCAUAAAUAAUUGAGGCUGCAUAAUAUUUUUCAAUUGUUAUAUAUAAGCCACAAAAAUCAAACUGGGAAAUAGUUUAUUAAAAUCUCCUCUAUAUUUAUCCUUUCAUUUUAAUUGUUUCCUAUGUAUCCAUUUUAACCAAUUAUUUUCCUUCUGCUCUCUUCCUUCUUCUUUGAGUUGACUUUAAUCUCCCACUCUAUUUUUUCUUUUAUUAGUUGGAAUCUCUCCAUCUUUUACCACUCCUUUGGCCAUCCUCCUUGAUAUAUUAUGCUGAUUCUGCCUAACAACUAACCAAAGCAUAAAAUUAAACAAAUUUCAACUCUCUUCACCAAAUAAUGUAGAAACCAAGAAUGCUUUAAUUCUGACUUCCUUUCCACCUUUAUUCCCAGUUAUUCACUUAGUCUUGCCUUCUUUGCUUUAAUACCACCAACUACACAGACAUGUUGUUUAUACACCUUUGCUAUUAUUUCAACUCUGCAAUUAGUUUCAGGAGCAUCAUUUGUGUAACAACUUCGGGAUUCUAACUACUCACACCUGCCCCUAUAAUGGCUUCCUUUCUGCCCCUCCCCCUCCGUCCAUUAGAAGGGUUGGUGGUCUGGCAUCCUCUUAAGUCUUAAAGAUUUUACUUUUCUGUGAAUGACUACCUUCCCACUACUCUUGGAAGCUAAAUCUAUCACCCUUGGUGUUUAUUCCCUCUCAGAACUCUGAGAGCUCAUGGGGCUGAGUGUUUCACUGUUUGCUAACUCUACCUUGGGCUGCUUUCUACAGCUUCUCUGUACUUCUGGUGUUGGACCUUUCCCCUAUGGUGGUGUUGGUGGUCUGAACUGGUUUCUUUUUAUUCCUAGGCAUUUCAAACUCUUCUGGACUCUCAAGAUUGGUGACCUGCUUGAAUGAUGAGAAUCCUUAUAAAUCGUCC